AGGAACAUAGCUCAGUUGGUUAGAGCGGUGGCCUUAUAAGCCAUGUAUCCCUGGUUCAAGUCCAGGCGUUCCGA
Molecule: transfer RNA, 74 nt
Filed under: Caudoviricetes sp.
Lineage: Duplodnaviria; Heunggongvirae; Uroviricota; Caudoviricetes
Description: tRNA-Ile
Rfam family: tRNA
About the family: Transfer RNA (tRNA) molecules are approximately 80 nucleotides in length. Their secondary structure includes four short double-helical elements and three loops (D, anti-codon, and T loops).
Source: RNAcentral